This 806-nucleotide ribosomal RNA is filed under the name uncultured bacterium. RNAcentral describes it as "bacterial SSU rRNA". It matches the Rfam family "Bacterial small subunit ribosomal RNA", at positions 245 to 1036 of the family's 1533-position model. The record is from RNAcentral.
CUAGUUGGUGAGGUAACUGCUCACCAAGGCUGUGAUGGAUAGCCGGCCUGAGAGGGCGAUCGGCCACAUUGGGACUGAGACACGGCCCAGACUCCUACGGGAGGCAGCAGUUAAGAAUCUUCCGCAAUGGACGAAAGUCUGACGGAGCGACGCCGCGUGAACGAUGAAGGCCGUGAGGUUGUAAAGUUCUUUUCCGAGGGAGGAAUAAAGAUGGUAGGGAAUGACCGUCUGAUGACGUUAACUCGGGAAUAAGCCCCGGCUAACUACGUGCCAGCAGCCGCGGUAACACGUAGGGGGCAAGCGUUGUUCGGAAUCAUUGGGCGUAAAGGGUGCGCAGGCGGCGUAGCAAGUCUGGUGUGAAAUACCUCGGCUCAACCGAGGGAACGCACUGGAAACUGUUAUGCUAGAGUACAGGAAGGGGAGUUGGAAUUCCAGGUGUAGGGGUGAAAUCUGUAGAUAUCUGGAAGAACACCGGUGGCGAAGGCGAACUCCUGGCCAUGUACUGACGCUGAGGCACGAAGGCGUGGGGAGCAAACAGGUUUAGAUACCCUGGUAGUCCACGCAGUAAACGAUGUACACUAGGUGGUGGGGUGGUAGCACUCAGUACCCGAAGCUAACGCAUUAAUUGUACCGCCUUGGGGAGUAUGCUCCGCAAGGGUGAAACUCAAAGGAAUUGACGGGGGCCCCGCACAAGCGGUUGGAGCAUGUGUUUCAUUUCGAUGGAUACGCGAGGACCCUUACCAGGGGCUGACACUAACACUGGAAUGGACGUGAAAGCGUUUCAGCCCUCCGGGGCCGGUGUAACA